GAUUAACGCUAGCGGCAGGCCUAAUACAUGCAAGUCGAACGGCAGCACGGGUAGCAAUACCUGGUGGCGAGUGGCGCACGGGUGCGUAACGCGUAUGCAACCUACCUAUAACCGGGGAAUAGCCUUCUGAAAGGAAGAUUAAUACCGCAUAAUAUCACUGGACGGCAUCGCCCGGUGAUCAAAACUCCGGUGGUUAUAGAUGGGCAUGCGUGACAUUAGCUAGUUGGUGAGGUAACGGCUCACCAAGGCUACGAUGUCUAGGGGGUCUGAGAGGAUGCUCCCCCACACUGGUACUGAGACACGGACCAGAGUCCUACGGGAGGCAGCAGUAAGGAAUAUUGGACAAUGGGCGCAAGCCUGAUCCAGCCAUGCCGCGUGAAGGAUGACGGCCCUCUGGGUUGUAAACUUCUUUUAUACGGGAAUAAACCCCUCGAUUCUUCGGGGGCUGAAUGUACUGUAUGAAUAAGGAUCGGCUAACUUCGUGCCAGCAGCCGCAGUAA
This 500-nucleotide ribosomal RNA is filed under the name uncultured bacterium. RNAcentral describes it as "partial 16S ribosomal RNA". It matches the Rfam family "Bacterial small subunit ribosomal RNA", at positions 28 to 523 of the family's 1533-position model. The record is from RNAcentral.